RNAcentral lists this ribosomal RNA (446 nucleotides) under uncultured bacterium. RNAcentral's name for it is "partial 16S ribosomal RNA". It matches the Rfam family "Bacterial small subunit ribosomal RNA", at positions 338 to 795 of the family's 1533-position model. The record is from RNAcentral.
CCUACGGGUGGCAGCAGUCGAGAAUCAUUCACAAUGGGCGCAACCCUGAUGCUGCGACGCCGCGUGGGGGAAUGAAGGUCUUCGGAUUGUAAACCCCUGUCAUGUGGGAGCAAAUUAAAAAGAUAGUACCACAAGAGGAAGAGACGGCUAACUCUGUGCCAGCCGCCGCGGUACUACAGAGGUCGCAAGCGUUUUUCGGAAUUACUGGGCGUAAAGCGGGUGUAGGCGGUUUAGUAAGUUGGUUGUGAAAGGCGCGGGCUCAACCCGCGGACGGCACAUGAUACUGGGAGACUAGAGUGAGGGAGGGGGAAGCGGAAUUCCCGGUGUAGCAGUGAAAUGCGUAGAUAUAGGGAGGAACACUCGUGGCGAAGGCGGGUUCCUGGACAGUAACUGACGCUGAGGCACGAAGGCCAGGGGAGCGAAAGGGAUUAGAUACCCGUGUAGUC